Molecule: ribosomal RNA, 465 nt
Filed under: Vreelandella stevensii
Lineage: Bacteria; Pseudomonadati; Pseudomonadota; Gammaproteobacteria; Oceanospirillales; Halomonadaceae
Description: partial 16S ribosomal RNA
Rfam family: Bacterial small subunit ribosomal RNA
Source: RNAcentral
CCUACGGGGGGCAGCAGUGGGGAAUAUUGGACAAUGGGGGCAACCCUGAUCCAGCCAUGCCGCGUGUGUGAAGAAGGCCCUCGGGUUGUAAAGCACUUUCAGUGAGGAAGAACGCCUAGUGGUUAAUACCCAUCAGGAAAGACAUCACUCACAGAAGAAGCACCGGCUAACUCCGUGCCAGCAGCCGCGGUAAUACGGAGGGUGCGAGCGUUAAUCGGAAUUACUGGGCGUAAAGCGCGCGUAGGUGGCUUGAUAAGCCGGUUGUGAAAGCCCCGGGCUCAACCUGGGAACGGCAUCCGGAACUGUCAAGCUAGAGUGCAGGAGAGGAAGGUAGAAUUCCCGGUGUAGCGGUGAAAUGCGUAGAGAUCGGGAGGAAUACCAGUGGCGAAGGCGGCCUUCUGGACUGACACUGACACUGAGGUGCGAAAGCGUGGGUAGCAAACAGGAUUAGAUACCCUAGUAGUC